GACGUAGGGCGCGAGCGUUGUCCGGAUUUAUUGGGCGUAAAGAGCUCGUAGGCGGCUUGUCGCGUCGACUGUGAAAACCCGCGGCUCAACCGUGUGGCGGGCAGUUGAUACGGGCAGGCUAGAGUUCGGUAGGGGAGACUGGAAUUCCUGGUGUAGCGGUGAAAUGCGCAGAUAUCAGGAGGAACACCGGUGGCGAAGGCGGGUCUCUGGGCAGUAACUGACGCUGAGGAGCGAAAGCGUGGGGAGCGAACAGG
RNAcentral lists this ribosomal RNA (254 nucleotides) under uncultured bacterium. RNAcentral's name for it is "partial 16S ribosomal RNA". It matches the Rfam family "Bacterial small subunit ribosomal RNA", at positions 524 to 776 of the family's 1533-position model. The record is from RNAcentral.